RNAcentral lists this ribosomal RNA (440 nucleotides) under uncultured bacterium. RNAcentral describes it as "partial 16S ribosomal RNA". It matches the Rfam family "Bacterial small subunit ribosomal RNA", at positions 338 to 795 of the family's 1533-position model. The record is from RNAcentral.
CCUACGGGUGGCAGCAGUGGGGAAUAUUGCGCAAUGGGGGAAACCCUGACGCAGCAACGCCGCGUGAAUGAAGAAGGCCUUAGGGUUGUAAAGUUCUGUUUUCUGGGACGAUACUGACGGUACCAGAGGAGGAAGCCACGGCUAACUACGUGCCGGCAGCCGCGGUAAUACGAAGGGGGCACGCGUGGUCCGGAUUUACUGGGCGUAAAGGAUGCGUAGGCGGAUGUUUAAGUGAGAUGUGAAAUACCCGAGCUCAACUUGGGUGCUGCAUUUCAAACUGGAUAUCUAGAGUGCAGGAGAGGAAAGCGGAAUUCCUAGUGUAGCGGUGAAAUGCGUAGAGAUUAGGAAGAACACCAGUGGCGAAGGCGGCUUUCUGGACUGUAACUGACGCUGAGGCAUGAAAGCGUGGGGAGCAAACAGGAUUAGAUACCCGAGUAGUC